This is a non-coding RNA of Spinacia oleracea (spinach), 73 nucleotides long. The record is from the annotation of a RefSeq genome assembly. NCBI's taxonomy places the organism in Eukaryota, Viridiplantae, Streptophyta, Magnoliopsida, Caryophyllales, Amaranthaceae.
GGGCAUUUGGUCUAGGUGGUAUGAUUCUCGCUUAGGGUGCGAGAGGUCCUGAGUUCAACUCUCAGAAUGCCCC